This 263-nucleotide long non-coding RNA is filed under the name Ananas comosus (pineapple). RNAcentral's name for it is "long non-coding RNA (ACOM_LNC021380)". The record is from RNAcentral. Lineage: Eukaryota; Viridiplantae; Streptophyta; Magnoliopsida; Poales; Bromeliaceae.
CCUUCUACCCCAAGACAGCUUGCGGGGUUACCACCGGCUAUGUCAGCUGGACGCUCUUCUGCAUCGCGUCAGCCAGAGGCAUCUAGAGCACCGAGUGGGCGGGUUUUUGCCACUCAGGUGGAGGAGCCGAUUGCAGUCCCCGACGACGUCGUGGCAGGUAUUAUCUUGAUCAAAGGCACUAGAGCUAGAGCUUUAUUCGACACAGGUGCAUCGCAUUCAUUCAUAGGUGCAUCAUUUGCAAAAGCUCAUAACAUAGAGAUCAC